RNAcentral lists this ribosomal RNA (443 nucleotides) under uncultured Oscillospiraceae bacterium. Its description in RNAcentral is "bacterial SSU rRNA". It matches the Rfam family "Bacterial small subunit ribosomal RNA", at positions 338 to 795 of the family's 1533-position model. The record is from RNAcentral. Lineage: Bacteria; Bacillati; Bacillota; Clostridia; Eubacteriales; Oscillospiraceae.
CCUACGGGGGGCUGCAGUGGGGAAUAUUGGGCAAUGGGCGAAAGCCUGACCCAGCGACGCCGCGUGAAGGAUGAAGGUCUUCGGAUUGUAAACUUCUUUGAUCAGGGAAGAAAGAAAUGACGGUACCUGAAAAACAAGCCACGGCUAACUACGUGCCAGCAGCCGCGGUAAUACGUAGGUGGCAAGCGUUGUCCGGAUUUACUGGGUGUAAAGGGCGUGUAGGCGGGGAUGCAAGUCAGAUGUGAAAUCCCGCGGCUCAACCGCGGAACUGCAUCUGAAACUGCGUCUCUUGAGUGUCGGAAGGGAAAGUGGAAUUCCUAGUGUAGCGGUGAAAUGCGUAGAUAUUAGGAGGAACACCGGUGGCGAAGGCGACUUUCUGGACGAUAACUGACGCUGAGACGCGAAAGCGUGGGGAGCAAACAGGCUUAGAUACCCCAGUAGUC